CAGCAUCAACAUCAGCAUCAACAUCAGCAUCAACAUCAGCAUCAACGUCGAAUCAGAGUAUAUCGACAGGCAGAGCAAGUGAUCGUCUGCUUGUCCGCCG
Molecule: microRNA precursor, 100 nt
Filed under: Trichophyton rubrum BMU01672
Lineage: Eukaryota; Fungi; Ascomycota; Eurotiomycetes; Onygenales; Arthrodermataceae
Source: RNAcentral